UAUUAAAAAAUAUUUAAAUGAAUAAUAUAUUUUUGUCAUUGUUUAUUAUUGAAAAACAUUUAAAAAUGUGAUAUAAGAAGAGGAUAAGGGAGGAAGUGGAGGAAAAGGAGGGGAAAUAAAUGAACUUAGAUUUGCGUUGAAUAAAAUCAGUAGCAAACGUCCUGAUAAACGUUGUCACGUGCUAUUACUGUACGUAACAUGAUAGAUUACGCAAAAGCACGACAGUGUCACGAUCGGUGGGUUUGCUUUAUAAUAGAUUCAAGUCAGUCUUAUAAUUUUGCUAUGUUUCAACUAACGUUUUUAAGUUCAAGUAGUCAGUGAAAAUAUAUAUGAGAUAAAAAAAAA
Long non-coding RNA from Polistes dominula (European paper wasp), 345 nucleotides. The record is from RefSeq and is a predicted model, not a curated record. Lineage: Eukaryota; Metazoa; Arthropoda; Insecta; Hymenoptera; Vespidae.